CCUACGGGAGGCAGCAGUGGGGGAUAUUGGACAAUGGGGGAAACCCUGAUCCAGCGACGCCGCGUGAGUGAAGAAGUAUUUCGGUCUGUAAAGCUCUGUCAGCAGGGAAGAAAGAAAUGACGGUACCUGACCAAGAAGCCCCGGCUAACUACGUGACAGCAGCCGCGGUAAUACGUAGGGGGCAAGCGUUAUCCGGAAUGACUGGGUGUAAAGGGAGCGUAGACGGUGAUGCAAGUCUGGAGUGAAAGGCGGGGGCCCAACCCCCGGACUGCUCUGGAAACUGGGUAACUUGAGUGCAGGAGAGGUGAGCGGAAUUCCUAGGGUAGCGGUGAAAUGCGUAGAGAUAAGGAGGAACACCAGUGGCGAAGGCGGCUUACUGGACUGUAACUGACGUUGAGGCUCGAAAGCGUGGGGAGCAAACGGGAGUAGAUACCCUUGUAGUC
RNAcentral lists this ribosomal RNA (443 nucleotides) under uncultured bacterium. RNAcentral describes it as "partial 16S ribosomal RNA". It matches the Rfam family "Bacterial small subunit ribosomal RNA", at positions 338 to 795 of the family's 1533-position model. The record is from RNAcentral.